AGCUGCCUCUCUAUGAGUCGUCGCCCUUGCCAUUGGGGUGCCUCCUCAUUCCUCGGAUGCGCUGUCAGUGGCCUCCAUGAGCUGCUACUUGCCGGGGGCCACCGCCACGGCCGGUGAUGGAGGGGCCAACGCCGGUGGCGGGGGGAGUGGCCGCAGCUGCCUCUGCUAGUAUGGGAGGGGCUACUGCCGCCGGAGCCCUCACGUGAGGGCGAACCGUAUUGCCGCAAGAGAUCACCUUGGGAGACUGAGGUGGCUAGCCGGAUCUAGUACAUCCAUGGCAAGAUCUAGAGCAGCCCCGACCGGUGGCAUAGGCACGGGCACGGUAGCUAUGCGCACAUCACGACUGGGUGGACGCAUGGGGUUUGGUGUUUACGGCCACACCCUGCGAUGCCUGGAAAAUCGAAGGAACUUGAUUAUGCCGUCUACAUGUGCUGGUUGAAGAGAUCGAACAAUCCUGCUGGUGCCUCAUAUGAAUAGUUGUUAAUUACAAAAAAAAUAUCAUAAUGUAUCUGGUACUAUUGAAAUGCGAUGGCAUAUGCUAAUUUUGUAUUUGACUAUUGAUUUACGUGGACUUGUGUACCGGUUAUGAUAUUACAA
This is a long non-coding RNA of Sorghum bicolor (sorghum), 597 nucleotides long. RefSeq lists it as uncharacterized. The transcript has 3 exons. The record is from RefSeq and is a predicted model, not a curated record. NCBI's taxonomy places the organism in Eukaryota, Viridiplantae, Streptophyta, Magnoliopsida, Poales, Poaceae.